UCUAAUACCGGAUAAUACUCCUGCCUGCAUGGGUGGGGGUUGAAAGCUCCGGCGGUGAAGGAUGAGCCCGCGGCCUAUCAGCUUGUUGGUGGGGUAAUGGCCUACCAAGGCGACGACGGG
RNAcentral lists this ribosomal RNA (120 nucleotides) under Streptomyces cavourensis subsp. cavourensis. RNAcentral's name for it is "partial 16S rRNA". It matches the Rfam family "Bacterial small subunit ribosomal RNA", at positions 162 to 283 of the family's 1533-position model. Lineage: Bacteria; Bacillati; Actinomycetota; Actinomycetes; Kitasatosporales; Streptomycetaceae. The record is from RNAcentral.